RNAcentral lists this ribosomal RNA (772 nucleotides) under Lactiplantibacillus plantarum. RNAcentral's name for it is "bacterial SSU rRNA". It matches the Rfam family "Bacterial small subunit ribosomal RNA", at positions 239 to 999 of the family's 1533-position model. Lineage: Bacteria; Bacillati; Bacillota; Bacilli; Lactobacillales; Lactobacillaceae. The record is from RNAcentral.
UAUUAGCUAGAUGGUGGGGUAACGGCUCACCAUGGCAAUGAUACGUAGCCGACCUGAGAGGGUAAUCGGCCACAUUGGGACUGAGACACGGCCCAAACUCCUACGGGAGGCAGCAGUAGGGAAUCUUCCACAAUGGACGAAAGUCUGAUGGAGCAACGCCGCGUGAGUGAAGAAGGGUUUCGGCUCGUAAAACUCUGUUGUUAAAGAAGAACAUAUCUGAGAGUAACUGUUCAGGUAUUGACGGUAUUUAACCAGAAAGCCACGGCUAACUACGUGCCAGCAGCCGCGGUAAUACGUAGGUGGCAAGCGUUGUCCGGAUUUAUUGGGCGUAAAGCGAGCGCAGGCGGUUUUUUAAGUCUGAUGUGAAAGCCUUCGGCUCAACCGAAGAAGUGCAUCGGAAACUGGGAAACUUGAGUGCAGAAGAGGACAGUGGAACUCCAUGUGUAGCGGUGAAAUGCGUAGAUAUAUGGAAGAACACCAGUGGCGAAGGCGGCUGUCUGGUCUGUAACUGACGCUGAGGCUCGAAAGUAUGGGUAGCAAACAGGAUUAGAUACCCUGGUAGUCCAUACCGUAAACGAUGAAUGCUAAGUGUUGGAGGGUUUCCGCCCUUCAGUGCUGCAGCUAACGCAUUAAGCAUUCCGCCUGGGGAGUACGGCCGCAAGGCUGAAACUCAAAGGAAUUGACGGGGGCCCGCACAAGCGGUGGAGCAGGUGGUUUAAUUCGAAGCUACGCGAAGAACCUUUACCAGGUCUUGGACAUACUAUGCCAAUCU